GCUCCUGCCACCCUUACCCUUUCUGGAACAACGCAUGCUUUUGAAAAAUGACCAUGCCGAAGGGAAACUAACUAAGCCUGGAGCAGGUCUUGUCAAUCUGAUUUUUAAAUGAUGGAGGAGGUUUCAGGACAAAGCUGUGGUGGCAUUACUGCUAUCCAGGAUGAUGCAAAAAUCAAGUGGAAAGGAGGGAAGGCGCUUCUGGAUGUGAGCACAUUCACAGCCUCGGAGGACAGAGAGGUAUUUAAAGUGAGCUGGAAGGAACCUGCAACAUCAGGUGCGUUCUGCCUUCAAAAAUAGCUGCCAGUUAGAAAGGGUUAUUUACAUAUUGAUUUCAUGCUAACUUUGUAAUGGAAUGUGCUGCCUGCCUGCCUGAGACCUAACAACUGUCAUCAUAAUUUUUUCUAAAAAUACAGUCAGAGGAAAACAUUAAUUGAGCCCUCCACUGGAAAGAGGCUACAAAGACCACUGAUCUCAAUCUACUGGACAGACCACCGGGGGCAGAGACUGUCCACAGCCACAGCUGAGGAAUAAUUCCACAGCUGCAGUCUGCCCUCCCUUCUUCCAACCAGCCUGCUCUCUAAUUUUUUUGUCUUUCUAGAAAAUCAAAGGCCUGAUGGAGCUGAUUCGGUUGUGAUCCUGGGCAUAUGGAUGGCAUAUUCCCUGGGAGCUAGCCUGUCCCCGCUGCUGGGGACAAAUCUUUCAUUCAUGAACAGAAGCUUGUUAGGCCAACUCCGGGCUCUAAAGCCACUUAAUUACAUUGUGGAAAGU
Nycticebus coucang (slow loris) is the source of this 768-nucleotide long non-coding RNA. RefSeq lists it as uncharacterized. NCBI's taxonomy places the organism in Eukaryota, Metazoa, Chordata, Mammalia, Primates, Lorisidae. The transcript has 3 exons. The record is from RefSeq and is a predicted model, not a curated record.